Molecule: ribosomal RNA, 1731 nt
Filed under: marine metagenome
Description: bacterial LSU rRNA
Rfam family: Bacterial large subunit ribosomal RNA
Source: RNAcentral
UUAGUUAUCAAUAGCAGUAUCCUGAGUAGUGCGGGGCACGUGAAACCUUGCACGAAUUUGCCGGGACCAUCCGGUAAGGCUAAAUACUCCUGAGAGACCGAUAGUGAACCAGUACCGUGAGGGAAAGGUGAAAAGAACCCUGAAUAAGGGAGUGAAAUAGAUCCUGAAACCAUACGCUUACAAGCGGUCGGAGCCAGAUUUAUCUGGUGACGGCGUGCCUUUUGCAUAAUGAGCCUACGAGUUACCGUUGCUAGCAUGGUUAAUCGAUUCAGUCGAGAAUCCGAAGCGAAAGCGAGUCUGAAUAGGGCGAUAAAGUUAGUAGUGGUAGACGCGAAACCGUGUGAUCUACCCAUGAGCAGGUUGAAGCUUUGUUAACCCAAAGUGGAGGACCGAACCCGUUGACGUUGAAAAGUCUUGGGAUGACUUGUGGGUAGGGGUGAAAGGCCAAUCAAACUCGGAAAUAGCUCGUACUCCCCGAAAUGCAUUUAGGUGCAGCGUUGUAAAAGUUCUAUAGAGGUAGAGCUACUGAUUGGAUGCGGGGGCUUCACCGCCUACCAAUUCCUGACAAACUCCGAAUGCUAUAGAAUGAUUUACAGCAGUGAGGGCAUGGGUGCUAAGGUCCAUGUCCGAGAGGGAAAGAACCCGGACCAUCAGCUAAGGUCCCCAAGUGUAUACUAAGUUGAAUAAACGAGGUUUGACUGCCCAGACAGCUAGGAUGUUGGCUUGGAAGCAGCCAUUCAUUUAAAGAGUGCGUAACAGCUCACUAGUCGAGCGGUCAAGCAUGGAUAAUAAUCGGGCAUAAGUAUACCACCGAAGCUAUGGCUUUGUGAUUUAUCACAAGGGGUAGGGGAGCAUUCUAUUUGCGUCGAAGGUAAACUGCGAGGUUCACUGGAGCGAAUAGAAAAGAAAAUGUAGGCAUAAGUAACGACAAUGCAGGCGAGAAACCUGCACACCGAAAGACUCAGGUUUCCUCAGCUAUGCUAAUCAGCUGAGGGUUAGUCGGGACCUAACGCGAACCCGAAAGGGGUAGUGGAUGGACAAUCGGUUAAUAUUCCGAUACCUGCCGGCGCUAAAAGUGACGGAGGGGAAAAGAUAGUGCGUACUGACGGAAUAGUACGUUGAAGCAACUGUUAAGGUUGUGAUAGUACACCAAGGCUUCGGCUGCGGUGAUAAUCUAUUGAAUCCACUUCCAAGAAAAGCAAGCCAGGCAGCCCGUACCGUAAACCGACACAGGUAGUUGGGAUGAGAAUUCUAAGGUGCUCGAGAGAUUCAUGGCUAAGGAACUAGGCAAAAUGGGCCCGUAACUUCGGGAGAAGGGUCGCCAACAGCAAUGUUGGCCGCAGUGACUAGGUCCAGGCGACUGUUUAUCAAAAACACAGGACUCUGCUAAGUUGAAAGACGACGUAUAGGGUCUGACACCUGCCCGGUGCCGGAAGGUUAAGUGGAGCUGUUAUUCUUCGGAAGAAGCAGUAAAAUGAAGCCCCGGUAAACGGCGGCCGUAACUAUAACGGUCCUAAGGUAGCGAAAUUCCUUGUCGGGUAAGUUCCGACCUGCACGAAUGGUGUAACGAUCUGGACACUGUCUCAGCCAUGAGCUCGGUGAAAUUGUAGUAUCGGUGAAGAUGCCGAUUACCCGCUACGGGACGAAAAGACCCCGUGCACCUUUACUAUAGCUUCGUAUUGACCUUGGAUAAGUAAUGUGUAGGAUAGGUGGGAGACUUUGAUCAGGCGU